Molecule: ribosomal RNA, 612 nt
Filed under: uncultured bacterium
Lineage: Bacteria
Description: bacterial SSU rRNA
Rfam family: Bacterial small subunit ribosomal RNA
Source: RNAcentral
AACCUUCCUCAGAGCGGGGGAUAGCCCAGAGAAAUUUGGAUUAAUACCCCAUAGUAUUGUUUGAUGGCAUCAUUAGACAAUUAAAGAUUUAUCACUCUGAGAUGGCUGUGCGUCUGAUUAGGUAGUUGGCGGGGUAAUGGCCCACCAAGCCUUCGAUCAGUAACUGGUGUGAGAGCACGACCAGUCACACGGGCACUGAGACACGGGCCCGACUCCUACGGGAGGCAGCAGUAAGGAAUAUUGGUCAAUGGACGCAAGUCUGAACCAGCCAUGCCGCGUGGAGGAUGAAGGUCCUCUGGAUUGUAAACUUCUUUUAUUGGGGAAGAAAUGCACGUUUUCUAACUUGCUUGACAGUACUCAAUGAAUAACCACCGGCUAACUCCGUGCCAGCAGCCGCGGUAAUACGGAGGGUGCAAGCGUUAUCCGGAUUUACUGGGUUUAAAGGGAGCGCAGGCGGGCUGAUAAGUCAGUGGUGAAAUCCCCGAGCUUAACUUGGGAACUGCCAUUGAUACUAUUGGUCUUGAAUGUUGUGGAGGUAAUCGGAAUAUGUCAUGUAGCGGUGAAUGCAUAGAUAUGACAUACAACACCUAUUGCGAAGGCAGCUUACUACGC